This is a long non-coding RNA of Manihot esculenta (cassava), 485 nucleotides long. RefSeq lists it as uncharacterized. Lineage: Eukaryota; Viridiplantae; Streptophyta; Magnoliopsida; Malpighiales; Euphorbiaceae. The record is from RefSeq and is a predicted model, not a curated record. The transcript has 2 exons.
AAAAAUAUAUAAAUUGAAUAAAUUUAAAAUAAAUAUGAAUUAGUAAAUUUUUAAAAAGUUCAAAUACCUAAUAGUAAUUUGCUUUAAAAGAAUAAACUUACCGUACCUUUCAUGUGCAGUAAGCUAAUUUUUUUUAUUAAUUAAAUUUAUAUUACCGCAUCUUACAAAUGAUUCACCCUGCUUUGGAAAAAAGUUUUUUCCAAACUCGAGGAGGAAAAUAUAGGCAAAAGGUUCGGUAAAUUUGUUUUUUUCUAGAAUUUCAUAAACGAGCUAUGAUGACGAAGUUAAAACAUUCUGGAAUCUUGUUCAUCUUUAAUGAUAUGAUUAUAUAAUUAUUUUUUCUUACCUCAGCAGUUUUCUGGGUGGCUGCUUGAGAUUUUGCUUCUAGUUCAGCUUUCCUGCCAGGAGAAUGGGAUGAUGUUGAAGAAAUUGAGGAACCUGUUUGUAAGCCAAGAAUCUGAGGAGGAUCUACCAUUAGAAAGAGA